UCUGCACCUGCCAUGGCGGUUGGGCUCAUGUGCUCCUCUGCAUUGGAGUUAGCCAAGGAGCGUGUGCAGAACACUUGCCUCGUAGGCCAGCCGUAAGGAAGGAUGUCCCAGGUGCAGGCGAAGUUUUGUUCAUGUGUUCCUGGAGGAUUUUUCCCGUGGCAAGCGCUUCUCCAUCCUCCAGCAUCUCAGGCCUGUGCACCAGCCUUCCUGUGCCCGUUGAUGGACUGAGAGGAAGAUGAGCCCUUAGGAUGCCUGCCAUGCUCACUGUUAAGGAACAACAGGUGACCCCACUGGACUGACCACCCAAUGAGGCCUUUGAACCUCAGGCCAGGGAGAGGCAGGUCUACAGGUGACAACUGUGAACAGCCCCAGCUGGGGACAACCAGAAAUCCCCAAGGCGACGAGUGGCUGAAAGUGAUGGAGCCCCCAGGCAGAGCCGAAACCCCACUGCAGGCUGAGCUGGGCACACUUGGGACACG
Molecule: long non-coding RNA, 479 nt
Filed under: Homo sapiens (human)
Lineage: Eukaryota; Metazoa; Chordata; Mammalia; Primates; Hominidae
Description: HSALNT0388981
Source: RNAcentral